Molecule: ribosomal RNA, 253 nt
Filed under: uncultured bacterium
Lineage: Bacteria
Description: partial 16S ribosomal RNA
Rfam family: Bacterial small subunit ribosomal RNA
Source: RNAcentral
UACAGAGGGUGCGAGCGUUGUUCGGAAUUAUUGGGCGUAAAGCGCUGGUAGGUGGCUUGACAAGUCGCGUGUGAAAGCUUCCGGCUCAACCGGAAAAGUGCGCGCGAAACUGUGAAGCUUGAGUGCCGGAGAGGGUCGCGGAAUUCCCGGUGUAGAGGUGAAAUUCGUAGAUAUCUCUAAGAACACCAGUUGCGAAGGCGGCUGGCUGGGUCCACAUUGACGCUGAGGCUCGAAAGCGUGGGGAGCAAACAGG